GAGCCUGAGCGCCCGAGCGAGCAUGCGCUGUGGGAGGUGGUUGGCCUCAGUGCGCAUGCGAGUUCGGGGAAGGGGCGGGAGGGCGAUGCGGCUCGGCCUCAGUGCGCGUGUGCACGCCGAGAAGCGGGAGAGAGGGCGGCUCUGGAGAUUUCAGAUAUGGAAAAUGAGAAGGAUCUUACUGAAGGCUCUAUAGCCAGGAAGUAGCAGAGUCUGGAUUCAAACCCAAGCCGGUCUCACUCCAGGGCGAGCCCACAUUUUUUUCCCUGGCACCGGGCAGCCUGCCUAGUGCUGAGGAAACUGAGGCCUGGAGCAGUUAAUUGACACACCCAAGGCAGCAGCUAGAACAGAGCCCAGGAAGUAGUAGGUGCUUACCAAAUAUUUGUGGAAUUGAUGAAUGCCUGACUUCAAAACCCACACAGCCCUCUCACUGCCUUCUGAAACCAGGAUUCACAGCUUCAUCCUUGAGUGUGUGUGAGCUUUCUAUGAGCAUUCUUCAAUUCUGUGUUUUUGGCUCGAUCAUCUUUGGAAAUAAUCACCUGCCAAUUCUGGCAGAUCUAGGCCACCACCUCCUCACUGAGACCUGCCAUGCAGUGUAGGAGCCUGUACCUGUGAUUGUUUACCAUGGCGUUGGUGCCAAGGGCCACUGUUUAAAUUAUUGCAGACUAAUGAGAAAAGGCAAAGGCUGCAGAUAAGCAAAAGACGCUGUCAUCAAGCCAGGGGGUGUGACAUCCCCAUCCCUGAGCACUGGUGCAAUCAAGUGGUCCCAGCCGGAAGUACGCAAGCUGAGUCGCUUGGCCAGGCAGGUAAAGCACCACGGCCCUGGGUCCCCUCUUCACAACAGCAGCAGAGACCGAGUUUUACUGAAACAGUGUCACCCUUCCCCACAGCAGUCUUGUUAAUUUGCAUUUUAUUGGUUUUCCAUGUAUGUUUGAACUUGGUUUGUAAAUUUGCUUUGGUUUUAUUAUUGUAUAAGUCAGAGUUAGAAGGAAUUUUAUAUCCGUCUGCAUGUAAGUAUCUCGACAAUAAAAAUAAUUUAAAGCCAAACACUGGAGUUCUCUGUGCAGUUUCUUUUUUUUAGUGUAAAAGAGAUCUGUCUGUACCUUAACGAGUUUGAGAAACCGUGUUGCAUCAUUCAUUUAUUCAACUUCAAACCUAUAAUGAGUGCCCACGUUUGCCAGGCCCUGGCCAAUGUUCCCUGUUCCAGGGCCAGAUUUUCAUACCUGAGGCCCAGCCUCCCUCCUCUCUCAGACCCGCUCCCACGGAUUC
Molecule: long non-coding RNA, 1266 nt
Organism: Pteropus alecto (black flying fox)
Lineage: Eukaryota; Metazoa; Chordata; Mammalia; Chiroptera; Pteropodidae
Exons: 3
Source: RefSeq, a predicted model, not a curated record